RNAcentral lists this ribosomal RNA (181 nucleotides) under uncultured bacterium. Its description in RNAcentral is "partial 16S ribosomal RNA". It matches the Rfam family "Bacterial small subunit ribosomal RNA", at positions 1319 to 1500 of the family's 1533-position model. The record is from RNAcentral.
CAUGAAGCUGGAUUCGCUGUAAUCGCGCAUCAGCCACGGCGCGGUGAAUACGUUCCCGGGCCUUGUACACACCGCCCGUCACACCAUGAGAGUUGGAGAUACCCGAGGCCUAUGAGCUAACUUUUAGAGGCAGUAGUCGAAGGUAGAAUCAAUGAUUGGGGUGAAGUCGUAACAAGGUAGC